RNAcentral lists this long non-coding RNA (243 nucleotides) under Lathyrus oleraceus (garden pea). RNAcentral's name for it is "Pisum sativum (pea) long non-coding RNA (PSAT_LNC041683)". The record is from RNAcentral. Lineage: Eukaryota; Viridiplantae; Streptophyta; Magnoliopsida; Fabales; Fabaceae.
ACACAUCCCUUGACAUCUAAUUCUAAUCCAUUUUGAAGGUGUAUUCAAUUCAUAUUUUUUAAAAUUUUAUUAAUUUUAAAUUCUAGAAUUAUAUAAAUUAAAUUGUUUUUAAAAUUGUUUUAGAAAGGGAUGAUUUUUUUAAAAUUGUUUAUUAAUUGGAAUAUUUUUUGAAUAAUGAUUAUUAAGAUAAGAAUAAUUUUUUCUUUUUAGAGAUUUCAAACAAAAAAAUUAAUUAUGAGAAUU